UUGACCUCGGAUCAGGUAGGAAUACCCGCUGAACUUAAGCAUAUCAAUAAGCGGAGGAAAAGAAACCAACAGGGAUUCCCCUAGUAACGGCGAGUGAAGCGGGAACAGCUCAAAUUUGAAAUCUGGCCCUUGGGUCCGAGUUGUAAUUUGUAGAGGAUGCUUUUGGUGCGGUGCCUUCCGAGUUCCCUGGAACGGGACGCCUUAGAGGGUGAGAGCCCCGUACGGUUGGACGCCUAGCCUCUGUAAAGCUCCUUCGACGAGUCGAGUAGUUUGGGAAUGCUGCUCUAAAUGGGAGGUAUAUUUCUUCUAAAGCUAAAUACUGGCCAGAGACCGAUAGCGCACAAGUAGAGUGAUCGAAAGAUGAAAAGCACUUUGAAAAGAGGGUUAAAUAGCACGUGAAAUUGUUGAAAGGGAAGCGUUUAUCACCAGACUUUUUCUGGGGGGAUCAUCCGGUGUUCUCACCGGUGCACUUCCCCCAGUUGAGGCCAGCAUCGGUUUUCGGAGGGGGAUAAAAGCUUCGGGAAUGUGACUCCCUCGGGAGUGUUAUAGCCCGUUGCAUAAUACCUUCUGGGGACCGAGGUUCGCGCAUCCUGC
This 594-nucleotide ribosomal RNA is filed under the name Nigrospora oryzae. RNAcentral's name for it is "eukaryotic LSU rRNA". It matches the Rfam family "Eukaryotic large subunit ribosomal RNA", at positions 1 to 607 of the family's 3401-position model. Lineage: Eukaryota; Fungi; Ascomycota; Sordariomycetes; Amphisphaeriales; Apiosporaceae. The record is from RNAcentral.